AAACCCGACCAUGUUGGGAAACCUAAACAUCCCGGAAAACAUAGAGAAUCUGAAAAAGCUAAAAAUCCUGAGGAACCCGACCAUGUUGGGAAACCUAAACAUCCUGGAAAACAUGGAGAAUCUGAAAAAGCUAAAAAUCCUGAGAAAUCCGACCAUCUUGGGAAACCUAAACAUCCCGGAAAACAUGCAGAGUCUGAUAAAGCUAAACAUCCUGAGAAACCCGAUCAUGUUGGGAAACCUAAACAUCCUGGAAAACAUGGAGAAUCUGAUAAAGCUAAACAUCCUGAAGAACCCAACCAUGUUGGGAAACCUAAACAUCCUGGAAAACAUGCAGAGUCUGAUAAAGCUAAACAUCCUAAGGAACCCGACCGUGUCGGGAAACCUAUACAUCCUGGAAAACAUGGAGAGGCUGAUAAAGCUAAACAUCCUGAGGAACCCGACCGUGUCGGGAAACCUAAACAUUCUGGAAAACAUGGAGAAUCUGAAAAAGCUAAACAUCCUGAGGAACCUGACCAUGUUGGGAAACCUAAACAUCAUGGAAAACAUCCAGAACAACUUGGACAUGACAGGAAAUCUGAACAUUCUGGCAACAAUGAACAUUCUAAAAUGCCUAAACAUGAGCAUGAACAUUAUGAACAUUAUGAACAUUAUGAACAUCAUGCACAACCUAAUCAUCCUGGCAAUGAACAUCCUGCAAAAGACAAACAUCCUAAGAAGCCUGAACAGCUAAAAGAUCUAAGACAUGACAGGAAACUUAAACAUCUUGGUAAACACCCACAUUCUAAGAAACCUGAACAUCCUGACAAAUCUAAAUCUCUUGAACAACCUGAACCAUUUGGAAAACAAAGACAAACCAAGAAACAAAAGUAUCCUGACAAGUCAGAUAAAACAAAACAACCUGAGCAACUUAUGCACAAUGGCAAACCUGAGGACCAUGUGAAACCACGUGAGAAACCGACACAUUCUGAAAAAUCUGAGCAUCAUAGGAAAUCUGAGCAUCCCAACAAGAAACAAACCCUGAACCCAGACGAAGCUGCACAUCACACACAAAAAGAACAUUUCUUCAAAUCUGAAAUUAUACAUCCUAGCAUGCAUGAGAUUUCAAGGAAACAUAAAUAUUCCCAGAAAUAUGAACAUUUUGAAAAAUCUUUGAGUGGCGCUAAGCAUCAGCAUCACUUUAAAUGGCUUGAUAAACACGUAGGUUCUGCUAGGAAUCGCUAUCACAAUGAAUGGGUCGAUGAAUCAGUCACUUAUCGCUCACAUGAGGAGAAACUGGACCACCCUGAAAAAUCCGAAAAUUCUCAGGAACCAGAGCAUCACAGUAAACUCAACCAUCCAGAUAAACACUCAAAGGCUGAGAAACCUCAGCAUUCUAGAAAGCAUGGAGAGUCUGACAAAGCUAAACAUCCUGAGAAACCUGACCAUGUUAGGAAAACGCCGACCAUGUUUGGAAAACGCAAACAUUUUAAAAAUCUUGAACAUGAUACAAAACCUAUGCAUUCUGGAAAACACACAAUAAAUACUGGACAUGACAGGAAACCUGAACAUCCUAAGAAUUCUGUAAACUCUAGACAGCCUGACCAUCUGAAGCAACCUGAAAAUCUUAAAGGUCCUGAGAUUCCUGAACGUACUGAGAAUCCUGAACAACUUCAGAAUCCUGAACAUCCUGAGAAUCCUAAAAAGCUUCAGAAUCCUGAACGUCAUGAGAAUCCUAAACAAACUGAGAGUCCCGAAAACCGUGACAAUCAUAACCAACUCAAGAAUUCCAAACGUCCUGAGAGUCCUGAACAACUUGAGAAUCCUGAACCUCUUGGGAAUCCAAAACAUGAGAGAACCGAAAGUCAUGAGAAUCCUAAACACACUGAAAGCCCUGAACGUUCUGAGAAGCCUGAACAUCAUGAGAAUAUUGAAAGUCCUGAAUAUCCUAAACAACCCAAGAGUCCUGAACGCCCUGAGUAUCCUAAACAAACUGAAAGUCCUGAACGUCCUGAGAAUCCUGAAGGUGCACAGAAUCCAAAACAACUUAAAAAUCCUAAACAUCCUGAGAACCCUAAACAGACUGAGAGCCCUAAACAUCUUAAGAAUCCUAAACAACUUCAGGAUCCUGAAAUUUCUGACAAUCUUAAACAAACCAAGAAUCCUGAACGUCCUGAGAGUUCUAAACAACUUGAUAAUCCUGAACGUCCUGAGAAUCCCAAUCGCCAGAAUCUCAAACGUCCUGAAAAUCCUAAGGAAAUUCAGAAUCCCUAUCAUCCUGAGAAUCCUCAAAAACUUCAGAAUACUGAACAUUCUGAGAAUCCUGAACAAUUCCAGAAAGCUGAACGCCUUAAAUAUCCCGAUCAACUUCAGUAUGCUGAACGUUCUAAGAAUCCUGGACGUCUGAACAAUCCUGAACAUCCUAAAAAUCAUAAACAACUUCAGAAUCCUGAACAUCGUGAAAAUCCUAAUCAGACUGAGAGUCCUGAACGUCCUGAGAAUCCUAAACAAACUGCAGGUCUUGAACCUUCUGAGAAUCCUAAACGCCGUGAGAAUCUUGAACGUCCUGAAAAUCCUAAACAACUUAAGAGUCCUGAACAUCCUAAGAAUCCUGAACGUCCUGAGUAUCCUAAACAACCUAGGAGUCCUGAACGUCCUGAGAAUCCUAAACAAUCCAAGAAUCCUGAAGCUCUGAACAAUCCUGAACAUCCCAAAAAUCCAAACCAACUUCAGAAUCCUGAACGUCAUGAGAAUCCUAAACAAGCUAAGAGUUCUGAACAACCUGAGAAUCCUGAACGUCCUGAGUAUCCUAAACAACCUAAGAGUCCUGAACGUCCUGAAAAUUCUAAACAACCUAAGGAUCCUGAACCUCUGAAGAAUCCUGAACAUCCUAAAAAUCCAAACCAACUUCAGAAUCCUGAACAUCAUGAGAAUCCUAAACAAACUAACAAUCCUGAACACCCUGAGAAACCUAACCAACUUCAGAAUCCUGAACAUCCUGAGAAUCCAAACCAACUUCAGAAUCCUGAACAUCAUGAGAAUCCUAAACAAACUAACAAUCCUGAACACCCUGAGAAACCUAACCAACUUCAGAAUCCUGAACAUCCUGAGAAUCCUAACCAACUUCAGAAUCCUAAACAACCUAAGAGUCCUGAACGUUCUGAGAAUCCUAAACAUCCUGAGAAUCCUAAACAACCUAAGAGUCCUGAACAACCUAUGAGUCCUAAACGUCCCGAGUAUCCUAAACAACCUAAGAGUCUUGAACAUCUGAACAACCCUGAACAUCCUAAAAAUCCUAACCAACUUCAGAAUCCUGAUCAUCAUGAGAAUCCUAAACAACCUAAGAAUCCUGAACGUCCUGAGAAUCCUAACCACCUUCAGAAUCCUGAACAUCAUGAGAAUCCUAAACAACCUAAGAGUCCUGAACAUCCUGAGUAUCCUAAACAAACUGAGAGUCCGGAACGUCUUGAGAAUCCUAAACAACCUAGGAAUCCUGAACCUCUGAACAAUCCUGAACAUCCUACUAAUACUAACCAACUUCAGAAUCCUAAACAUCCUGAGAAUCCUAAACAACCUAAGAGUUCUGAACAACCUGAGAAUCCUGGACGUCCCGAGUAUCCUAAACAACCUAAGAUUCCUGAACGACCUGAGAAUCCUAAACAAACUGAGAGUCCGGAACGUCUUGAAAAUCCUAAACAACCUGAGAAACCUGAACCUCUGAACAAUCCUGAACAUCCUAAAAAUCCUAACCAACUUCAGAAUCCUGAACGUCAUGAGAAUCCUAAACAUCCUGAGAAUCCUAAACAACCUAAGAGUUCUAAAGAAACUGAGAGUCCUGAACGUCCUAAGUAUCCCAACCACCUUCAGAAUCCUGAACAUCAUGAGAAUCCUAAACAACCUAAGAGUCCUGAACGCCCUGAGUAUCCUAAACAAACCGAGAGUCCGGAAGGUCUUGAGAAUCCUAAAAAACCUAAGAAUCCCAAACCUCUGAACAAUCCUGAACAUCCUAACAAUCCUAACCAACUUCAGAACCCUAAACAUCCUGAAAAUCCUAAACAACCUAAGAGUCCUGAACGUUCUGAGAAUCCUAAACAUUCUGAGAAUCCUAAACAACCUAAGAGAUCUGAACAACCUGAGAGUCCUGAACUUCCUGAGUAUUCUAAAAAACCUAGGAGUCCUGAAGGACCUGAGAAUCCUAAACAAACUGAGAGUCCGGAACGUCUUGAGAAUUCUAAGCAACCUAAGAAUCCCCAACCUCUGAACAAUCCUGAACAUCCUAAAAAUCCUAACCAACUUCAGAAUCCUGAACGUCAUGAGAAUCCUAAACAACCUAAGAAUUCUGAACCUCUGAACAAUCCUGAACAUCCUAAAAAUCCUAACCAACUUCAGAAUCCUGGACGUCAUGAGAAUCCUAAACAUCCUGAGAAUCCUAAACAACCCAAAAUUUCUAAAGAACCUGAGAGUCCUGAACGUCCUGAGUAUCCCAACCACCUUCAGAAUCCUGAACAUCAUGAGAAUCCUAAACAACCUAAGCAUCCUGAACGUCCUGAGUAUCCUAAACAAACUGAGAGUCUGGAACGUCUUGAGAAUCCUAAACAACCUAAGAAUCUUGAACCUCUGAACAAUCCUGAACAUCCUAAAAAUCCUAACCACCUUCAGAAUCCUGAACAUCAUGAGAAUCCUAAACAACCUGCGAGUCCUGAACGUCCUGAGUAUCCUAAACAACCUAAGAGUCCUGAAGGACCUGCGAAUCCUAAACAAACUGAGAGUCCGGAACGUCUUGAGAAUCCUAAGCAACCUAAGAACCCCGAACCUCUGAACAAUCCUGAACAUCCUAAAAAUCCUAACCAACUUCAGAAUCCUGAACGUCAUGAGAAUCCUAAACAAGCUAAGAGUUCUGAACAACCUGAGAAUCCUGAACGUCCUGAGUAUCCUAAAGACCCUAAGAGCCCUAAACGACCUGAGCAUCCUAAAGAACCUAAGAGCCCUAAACGACCUGAGUAUCCUAAACAAACUGAGAGUCUGGAACGUCUUGAGAAUCCUAAACAACCUAAGAAUCCUGAACCUCUGAACAAUCCUGAACAUCCUAAAAAUCCUAACCACCUUCAGAAUCCUGAACAUCAUGAGAAUUCUAAACAACCUGAGAGUCCUGAACGUCCUGAGUAUUCUAAACAACCUAAGAGUCCUGAAGGACCUGAGUAUCCUAAACAAACUGAGGGUCCGGAACGUCUUGAGAAUCCUAAACAACCUAAGAAUCCCGAACCUCUGAACAAUUCUGAACAUCCUAAAAAUCCUAACCAACUUCAGAAUCCUAAACAUCCUGAGAAUCCUAAACAACCUAAGAGUUCUGAACAACCUGAGGGUCCUGAACGUCCUGAGUAUCCUAAAGAACCUAAGAGCCCCAAACGACCUGAGAAUCCUAAACAAACUGAGGGUCCGGAACGUCUUGAGAAUCCUAAACAACCUAAGAAUCCCGAACCUCUGAACAAUUCUGAACAUCCUAAAAAUCCUAACCAACUUCAGAAUCCUGAACAUCAUGAGAAUCCUAAACAAGCUAAGAGUCCUGAACGUUCUGGGAAUCCUAAACAUCCUGAGAAUCCUAAACAACCUAAGAGUUCUGAACAACCUGAGAGUCCUGAACGUCCUAAGUAUCCCAACCACCUUCAGAAUCCUGAACAUCAUGAGAAUCCUAAGCAACCUAAGAGUCCUGAACGUCCUGAGUAUCCUAAACAAACUGAGAGUCUGGAACAUCUUGAGAAUCCUAAACAACCUAAGAAUCCCGAACCUCUAAACAAUCUUGAACAUCCUAAAAAUCCUAACCAACUUCAGAAUCCUAAACAACCUAAGAGUUCUGAACAACCUGAGAGUCCUGAACGUCUUGAGUAUCCUAAACAACCUAAGAGUCCUGAACGACCUGAGAAUCCUAAACAAACUAAGAGUCUUGAACGUCUUGAGAAUCCUAAACAACCUAAGAAUUCCGAAUCUCUGAACAAUCCUGAACAUCCUAAAAAUCCUAACCAAUUUCAGAAUCCUGAACAUCAUGAGAAUCCUAAACAACCUAAGAGUCCUGAACGUUCUGAGAAUCCUGAACAUCCUGAGAAUCCUAAACAACCUAAGAGUCCUGAACGUCUUGAGUAUCCUAAACAACCUAAGAGUCCUGAACGUCUUGAGUAUCCUAAACAACCUAAGAGUCCUGAACGCCCUGCGUAUCCUAGACAAACUGAGAGUCCGGAUCGUCAUGAGAACCCUAAACAACUUAAGAAUCCCGAACCUCUGAACAAUCCUGAGCAUCCUAAAAAUCCUAAACAACUUCAGAAUCCUGAACAUCAUGAGAAUCCUAAUCAACUUCAGAAUCCUAAACAACCUAAGAGUCCUGAACGUCCUGAGAAUUCUAAAGAACCCAAGAGUCCUGAACGUCAUGAGUAUCCUGAAAGUCCAAAGAAUCCAAAACAACUUCAUAAUCCUGAACGCCCUGAGUAUCCUAAACAAACUGAGAGUCCUGAACGUCCUGUAAAUUCUAAACAACCUAAGAAUCCUGAACAUCCUGAGAAUCCUAAACAACUUCAGAAUCCUAAACAAUCUGAGAGUACUAAGCAUCCUGAGAAUCUUAAACAAACUAGGAAUCCUGAACAUCCUGAGAUUACUACACAAACUGAAAGUCCUGAACGUCCUGAGAAUCCUGAAGGUCCACAGAAUCCAAAACAACUUCAUAAUCCUGAGCAUCCUGAGAAUCCUAAACAAAUUGAGAAACCUAAACAUUCCGAGAAACCUGAACGUCUGAACAAUCCUGAACGUCCUAAAAAUUCUAACCAACUUCAGAAUCCUGAACAUCGUGAGAAUCUUGAACAUCCUGAAAAUCCUAAACAACCUAAGAGUCCUGAACGUCCUGAUUAUCCUGAAAGUCCACAGAAUCCAAAACAACUUCAUAAUCCUGAACAUCCUGAGAAUCCUAAACAAACCGAGAACCCUAAACGUCUUGAGAAACCUAAACAAACUGAGAGUAUUAAACAUCGUGAGAAUCUUAAACAAACUAAGAAUCCUGAACAUCCUGAUAAUUCUAAACAACUUGAGAAUCCUGAGCGUCCUGAGAAUCAUAAACAACUUGAAAAACCUAAACGUCCAGAGAAUCCUGAACACCCUCAGAAUCCCAAACAAACUGAGAAUCAUAAACAUUUAAAGAAUCCUAAACACACUGGGAGUCCUGAAGAGCCUCAGAAUCCUGAACUACCUGAGCAUGAACAUUAUAAUUUAGACACUUCUGGACACUCCAAUGCUAAACCUGACCAACACAAUGAGAAACCUGAACAUUUUGGAAAACCUGACAAUCAUCAAAAAAAAGAACAUACAAGCAAGAACAAACCCAAAAAUUCUGACAAAUUCGUACAACCUAUACAAGAAGAAUAUUUCUUCAAUUCUGAAAUCGAACAACAUGGCAUGCAUGAACUUUCUAAAAUGCAUAAACAGUCCCAUGAUUAUGAAUAUUCUGAUGAUUCAGUCAGGCCAAUUAGAGACCAGUAUCGCUUUAAAUGGCUUGAACCCGUAGGUCCUGCUGGGCAUCGUUAUCGCCAUGAAUGGGUGGAUAAAUCAGUUGGUUCUGUCGGGUAUCAUAAUAGAUUCAAAUGGGCUGAUAAUUCUGCAGGCUAUGGCAAACAUCGGUAUGGCUUUAAAUGGGCUGAUAAGUCUGCAGGCUAUGGCAAACAUCGGUAUGGCUUUAAAUGGGCCGAUAAGUCUGCAGGCUAUGGCAAACAUCGGUAUGGCUUUAAAUGGGCUGAGAAGUCUGGAGGUCAUGGCAAACAUCGUUAUGGCUUCAAAUGGGCUGAUAAUUCUGCAGGCUAUGGCAAACAUCGGUAUGGCUUUAAAUGGGCUGAUAAGUCUGCGGGUCAUGGCAAACAUCGUUAUGGCUUUAAAUGGGCUGAGAAGUCUGUAGGUUAUGGCAAACAUCGGUAUGGCGACCAAUGGGCUAAGAAGUCUGCAGGCUAUGGCAAACGUCGGUAUGGCGACAAAUUGGCUGAGAAGUCUUCCAAACAUCAUUAUCGCCUUAAAUGGGCCAAUAAGUCUGUAGAUGCUUUCAAGCAUCAAUACUUUCUUAAACAGAAUCAAAAUCCCCUUAAAUGGACUGGUGAGCAUAAACUUUUUGGCACACAGGGUGAAAUAGGUGACUGUUGCUGCAGUACUAAGUGUUGUAGUAGAAACACUUGUAGCCCAAACACCAAUGUAAUGGGUAGUCCCUGCUGUAAACCGAAAUGUUGCAGCAUCAAACAAAAAUGCAACAAAAUGGCUUGUGCAAGAAAUUCUCACCGAUCCUCCAGGCUGUGUGAGGGACAGAGCGGGACGCUGCAGUGUCCAAAAGGAAAACCCUUGUCUUAGCAAUCAUGAAUAACUGCUUCUUGUUACGAUUGCGCGUGAGUGCAUUUGGGGCCCACUAUAGCACACACUCCUCCAUGGCUGGCAGUGAGCAGAUCUAACACCAGGCGGUCUUAGUGCGGUAAGAUGACGAUCUAUACCGGCAAGGGCUUGUACCCUAACAUUGAAGAACAGGAUCAUACGGUAAUUUAUGGUUUCAACUCUCAGCCAGCUUCCUGUUUUAUUUUGUAGCCACUUCCGGGUUUUGUUCAUUCAUGUUUUCCGUUACCUUGACUAUUCAUCUACCACCUGCGUUUCAGCAGUAAUCAGCCUGUGCAGUCACCAGUACUUACCUUAGUUCCCGACAGAUUGUAGCUUAUUUUCACCGCCGUCCUGCGUUGUCCCAUGAAGCUGAGUGUCUGUAAGGUUUCGUAUCUUUGUGGAAUCUCACUGCCUGUACCGAAACUGAUCCGGACUGAUCUGUCGCCAACCUGUACAAGUGUAAGAACCUGAUUUUGCCUCUGCUGGUUGCUUUCCCAUGUACCGACCUCCGCCUGUUUGAUCACAGAGUUACCGUAUUAAAGCUUUUCUUCUCUGCAUCUGCCUGUCUCCCAGAACAAUCUAACCCUCACCUUUAACUUGUCUUACAGUCGUUGCUUCUGCUGCACCUCCAAACAUAAGACGACUUAAAGCUUCAUGUAAAGAAGGUUCUACAUAUGAUGGAGUAGAGGGUAGAUAAGUGUCUUACUGUCUUUUAGCUCAUUAACUGUCCUGUUCAUGUUAAACCAUCUAUUAAUUCUCUUUUAGUUUUUUAUUUUUGCUUCUCUCCUAACAAUUACAGCUCAGGGACCAGAUGGCAGGCAUGCAUCUCUGUUUUUUUAUGAUUAAUAAAAAGUCCAGAUUUGAAGAGAAACAUUCUCCAGAGUCGUCUACAGCCAUGAGUCAACGCCUGCUGUAGCUGCCAUCUACAAGAAGAGCUGAAAAAAACACAUUUCCACCAUCUCUGCCCCUGCUGUACUCACCAACAGCUGCUCGCAGUAGACCUGUGAAGACAGGAGGAAGUUUUUGUUUUGGACCACAGGCACUGGCCAGCUCCUAUGAGGAAGGACAUCAAUGACCAAACACCACAGACAGAAGGACAUGACUUGUGGACCAGGAGUAUGGAGUCCUGUAUGCACCCAAACAGCUUUUUACACCCCACAACAAAGUUACAUAUUUCCCACUGUGUAAAACACCUCCGCAAAUUUAAGAACACCAGAUCCUCUCUGAAACUACAAGACACGCAACAACUCACGCACAAUACAUUUAUUGCCCAGCAGAAGUUCAUCCCUUGUAUAGGGAUAAGGGCGUGGAGAGAGAGAUGACCUGGAAAGAAAACGAAAUAUGAAUAUAUUAUUAAAUGAAUAUUGUAUGAAUGUCUCCAUAUUUAUUGCAGUAGUAAGUAUUUCAGUCCUUAGAAUUCAGUCAUCAGAAUGUUGCAGCUGUUUAGCAUUUUUUUGCUGUUUAAACUCAAACAUACAUAACACACAUUUAGACACACAGUCCAACCUGCUGGGCUUGUCACAUAACCCACAUAAGCAGUGUCCUGGCGUCCCGCCAGCUGGAUAGUCCUUAUAUGGGCACCAGGACAUCCGACGAAAUAACGGGAAGCUCCAUAUUUGGGCUACAGCAGCUCUUCCUGCAGGGAGCAGGAGGCUAAGUAGCAACCAUUGAUCUCAUUGGCUGUUUGGAUUUAUCCGCUGACACACAGGCCAAAGGUGAGAUAGUGUGUUGACUAUAAUCUACAUCUAAAGACUGACUUCAAUGUUUAACUGUAGACUUUGGCCCAAAUCUCUUCCAUUAUUCUGUUAGAUUUGUUUAUGAUUUCACAUUUUUUAAAUCCAUUUAGAGUGUCAAUUUGUUUUUUUUCCUACAGUAUGAUUUCUGAAAUCCAGUUUCAUAUACAUAUUUACAUGCUGCCAGGCAUAAAAUAAAAAUGAAGAAGGACUGAAUCACCGGAGACUGACGUCCCAGGUUGAACACGGUGUUGAUGCGCUAUUUAAAAGGACAUUUACAAACUUUUUGACCAUCAAAACAGUCUGUCUCCAUAGCCCCACAUGUUUGCUUUCAGCUAUAUAACAUGUUCUUCCUUUAGGACAAUUUCAUUACAUUGGUCCUUGUGGUCCUAUUUGCUUGCAACUUGUUGUUUUCAUCUGGAAUCAUCUGCAAUAAAACAACCAACAUGUUUCUGA
This is an RNA transcript of Betta splendens (Siamese fighting fish), 10550 nucleotides long. It is a transcript of the gene named titin-like, with no coding region annotated. The record is from RefSeq and is a predicted model, not a curated record. The transcript has 4 exons. Lineage: Eukaryota; Metazoa; Chordata; Actinopteri; Anabantiformes; Osphronemidae.